GGCUUUACGAAACCUAACGGCGCAAUGAAAAGGAAGGCCCCCUCCCUUCGGGGGCUUAGGUUGGAUUCCCCGGUCCUUGCCGGGGGCGCACCACCGCCCCGUCUGGACACCUUGCCACCCUGGCCGCGGUCGGGGAGAGCUGGAGAGGUCAGGCGGAGCUAGAGCGCACACGUUGGUACCCGAAAGAUGGUGAACUAUGCCUGAGCAGGUUGAAGCCAGGGGAAACCCUGGUGGAGGACCGUAGCGAUUCUGACGUGCAAAUCGAUCGUCCGACUUGGGUAUAGGGGCGAAAGACUAAUCGAACCAUCUAGUAGCUGGUUCCCUCCGAAGUUUCCCUCAGGAUAGCAGGCGCUCGAGGGUUCAGUUUUAUCCGGUAAAGCGAAUGAUUAGAGGCCUUGGGGUCGAAACGUCCUCAACCUAUUCUCAAACUUUAAAUGGGUAAGAAGCCCCGCUGGCUGGCUUGCAGCGGCGCCCCUGACAGAA
RNAcentral lists this ribosomal RNA (483 nucleotides) under Syllis gracilis complex lineage 3 PAC-2017. Its description in RNAcentral is "eukaryotic LSU rRNA". It matches the Rfam family "Eukaryotic large subunit ribosomal RNA", at positions 697 to 1117 of the family's 3401-position model. Lineage: Eukaryota; Metazoa; Annelida; Polychaeta; Phyllodocida; Syllidae. The record is from RNAcentral.